AGAUUGAACGCUGGCGGCAUGCCUAACACAUGCAAGUCGAACGGGAGUAGCAAUACUCUAGUGGCGGACGGGUGAGGAAUACGUAGGAAUUUGCCCUUAAGUGGGGGAUAACCCGGGGAAACCCGGAUUAAUACCGCAUGACCUCGAAAGAGCAAAGUGGGGGAUCGCAAGACCUCACGCUUUGGAGAAGCCUACGUCGGAUUAGCUAGUUGGUGAGGUAAUGGCUCACCAAGGCGACGAUCCGUAACUGGUCUGGAGAGGAUGAUCAGUCACGACCGACUGAGACACGGUCCGACUCCGUACGGG
RNAcentral lists this ribosomal RNA (306 nucleotides) under uncultured soil bacterium. RNAcentral's name for it is "bacterial SSU rRNA". It matches the Rfam family "Bacterial small subunit ribosomal RNA", at positions 26 to 345 of the family's 1533-position model. The record is from RNAcentral.